CACAAUGCCUCGGGGCGGAGGGAGGGGGAGCUGGAAAGGGUUGGGGGAGGGAAUGUGGCCUUAAGAAGAGAAAGAAGGAGAAGAAUGCAGACCCUUCUACCAGGGCUAGGAGGCCAGGCCUAAAAAGGAAUAAAGAGGCAAGGCUUAGACAGAGGGAGGGGUAUAAAGACCCCAAUCCCAAGAAGAAUAAAGGAAGAGAGAGGGAAGGAGAUUCAGACCCGGGAAGCAGCUGGGGAAGGGGUAGAGAUCCUAACCUGAGGAAGAAGCAGGGAAGGAGGUGAAGUCAUCAGCCUCAGAGGAAAAGACAGGACCCCUUUCCUCCCCCCAGAUCUGUAGGAAGAAGAGGAACAGCCUGCUCCACAGAGAGGCACCAAGUCAGAAACCUGCAAACCAUGAAUGUGGAUGAAACUACUCCAUGGCUGAGAAAUAUGGAUUAGAAAGACACUCCAUCCCUUCCUCCACCCAAAGAACUGUGUUCGGGAUCUUCUCUUUCCCUAGAACCCACCAUAGACUGAUUAGAAUCCUGCCUGUUGCAUUCACUGUGGUAUCCAGAGGAAAGACUACUGACAUGUGGCCAGUAGUC
This 583-nucleotide long non-coding RNA is filed under the name Felis catus (domestic cat). RNAcentral's name for it is "lncRNA (ENSFCAG00000047826.1)". Lineage: Eukaryota; Metazoa; Chordata; Mammalia; Carnivora; Felidae. The record is from RNAcentral.